GAGAGGGACUCCUGUCGCAGGAGAGAUGGCGCCUACUACCAUCAAUGAGCCAUUGUUGUUCCAUUAUUGAGUUGGUAAGCUUCGUCUCUCCUCGACUGAAGUCCUUUUCAAU
Non-coding RNA from Gossypium raimondii (Peruvian cotton), 112 nucleotides. The record is from Rfam. Lineage: Eukaryota; Viridiplantae; Streptophyta; Magnoliopsida; Malvales; Malvaceae.